This is a small nuclear RNA of Drosophila melanogaster (fruit fly), 116 nucleotides long. The record is from Ensembl. Lineage: Eukaryota; Metazoa; Arthropoda; Insecta; Diptera; Drosophilidae.
AUGUCUCGAUCGCCGCUUCAGUUGUGGAGCGAGAGCUUACGCAAUGGAGCGGAGUGAUGAGCACAUUAUCCGAGGCAAUUUUUUUAGUGCCUGGCCGCGAAAUGCCGCCGGGCCGU